UGGGGUGGGAGCUUUGAAGGGUAGGGAGCCUGAUGAUCCUGCCCUGGGUGCUUGGCACAGCCCAAACUGGGGACAGAAGGCAGUUCCCUACAGAAGAGUAGGUCCUUGCUGGUCCACAGUGAGAGGAGAUCCACCAGGCAUCUCUCACCUCCAGCCCAAGCACCUGGGAGGUGCCAAGGGAAACACCCAUGGUUAGAAGGGCCACCUUUGAUGACUGAGCUUCCCGUGCUGUACCCAGGGUCCUCCUGCCCCGGUGGGAGAGGGUCCCCUUGUCCCUCUUCCAGACUUCCUUUUGCUCAUGAUUUUGAUGAGGCUGCCCAGAAGAGCCUUAAUCCAGUUCCCAUCUGUCACUAGCCUGCAGCAUCUGCAGCUCCAACUCGGGUACCUCUGCUUCCUCCAGCAGGGGGCAGAGGCCCAGCACCUGGGCAGGGACCAGUGAUCAGCAGGUUCUCUGGAUUGCUCCCAAGGACUAAAGCAGAUAUCUGGACCACAGGCUUAGCUUCUGGGGGAGGACUUAGACUUUCAAAACCCUCCACGACUCCCCAGAGCCACUCAUCAAACCAGAAGCCAGCUUCUCUCCCUCCCUCAGCUUUUGGACAUUUAUAGUCAAAACCAUUUCAACUUCUGUAGAAAGUCACUGAGCACAUAAUUUUGUACCCAGCACAGAGUGAGGAGUAACACAGGGUUCUAGACUCUUGUAAGGUGGGCUGGGGUUGUGGCUCAGGGGCAGAGCACUUGCCUGGCACAUGUG
This 751-nucleotide long non-coding RNA is filed under the name Marmota monax (woodchuck). The record is from RNAcentral. Lineage: Eukaryota; Metazoa; Chordata; Mammalia; Rodentia; Sciuridae.